CCUUAAGUAAAUUACUUUUCCAGCAACUUGCUGGCUGAGCAAUACUUUAUUUCUAUACUGACUUUCAGUGCUCCAAAAAAGACUUUAUAAAAAUUAGCUGUAGAAUUGAGUAAGAUAUCACUAAUAUCAUUUUUGAGUUUGUUUUCAGAGAGAAACAAUAGAGAAAGAGUAAUUUCCAGUCGACAUUCAUCCCAAUAAAUUACACAGUUCUUUCAUUUGAGGUCAUUUUAUGCCACUUAU
Molecule: long non-coding RNA, 240 nt
Filed under: Bos taurus (domestic cattle)
Lineage: Eukaryota; Metazoa; Chordata; Mammalia; Artiodactyla; Bovidae
Description: long non-coding RNA NONBTAT012593
Source: RNAcentral